Molecule: ribosomal RNA, 434 nt
Filed under: uncultured bacterium
Lineage: Bacteria
Description: partial 16S ribosomal RNA
Rfam family: Bacterial small subunit ribosomal RNA
Source: RNAcentral
AGCGAACGCUGGCGGCAGGCCUAACACAUGCAAGUCGAACGAACCUUUCGGGGUUAGUGGCGGACGGGUGAGUAACACGUGGGAACGUGCCUUUAGGUUCGGAAUAACUCAGGGAAUCUUGUGCUAAUACCGAAUGUGCCCUUCGGGGGAAAGAUUUAUCGCCUUUAGAGCGGCCCGCGUCUGAUUAGCUAGUUGGUUGAGGUAAUGGCUCACCAAGGCGACGAUCAGUAGCUGGUCUGAGAGGAUGAUCAGCCACAUUGGGACUGAGACACGGCCCAAACUCCUACGGGAAGCAGCAGUGGGGAAUCUUGCGCAAUGGGCGAAAGCCUGACGCAGCCAUGCCGCGUGAAUGAUGAAGGUCUUAGGAUUGUAAAAUUCUUUCACCGGGGACGAUAAUGACGGUACCCGGAGAAGAAGCCCCGGCUAACUUCGUG